GAUGAACGCUGGCGGCGUGCCUAAUACAUGCAAGUCGAGCGAACAGACGAGGAGCUUGCUCCUCUGACGUUAGCGGCGGACGGGUGAGUAACACGUGGAUACCCUACCUAUAAGACUGGGAUAACUUCGGGAAACCGGAGCUAAUACCGGAUAAUAUAUUGAACCGCAUGGUUCAAUAGUGAAAGACGGUUUUGCUGUCACUUAUAGAUGGAUCCGCGCCGCAUUAGCUAGUUGGUAAGGUAACGGCUUACCAAGGCGACGAUGCGUAGCCGACGUGAGAGGGUGAUCGGCCACACUGGAACUGAGACACGGUCCAGACGCCUACGGGAGGCAGCAGUAGGGAACCUUCCGCAAUGGUCGAAAGCCUGACGGAGCAACGCCGCGUGAGUGAUGAAGGUCUUCGGAUCGUAAAACUCUGUUAUUAGGGAAGAACAAAUGUGUAAGUAACUAUGCACGUCUUGACGGUACCUAAUCAGAAAGCCACGGCUAACUACGUG
RNAcentral lists this ribosomal RNA (497 nucleotides) under uncultured bacterium. RNAcentral's name for it is "partial 16S ribosomal RNA". It matches the Rfam family "Bacterial small subunit ribosomal RNA", at positions 28 to 507 of the family's 1533-position model. The record is from RNAcentral.